GCAUCUCAAUGGCCAAAGAAAACCCAUGAAUUCUUUUUGCACCCUCCAAUCCUUCAAAGGGCUCCUGGGAGGCCAAAAGUAGAGAGGCACAAGAGUGGUGCUGAGCAUAGCAAGAGCAAGAGAAGAAAAGGACAGCAUUAGUGCCCAAUUUGCAAAGACUAUGGUCAUAGAUGGCAAGGUUGCAAAAAUGCUGUUCCAGAUGCAAAAGAAGCGUAUGCUGAUGUGGCAAAAGAAAGAAGGAAAAAAAGAAAUAAAUACAAAGUUGCAGCAAGGAGUGGUGACGCUAAUAUUGAAGCAAUCGAAGGUACCCAACCAACGCUGCCCCUUCCAUGUUCAACUACCAACCCAAGUGAAGUAGAUGUGGUGAAGUCAACAUCAUCUAAAUCUGUGAGGUCCAAAACCGGUUCGAACCAAAUUGAGAGCACCUCAAUGGAAAUUGCGUCAACACCAAAGCGGCGCAAGGGCAAGUCGAAGGCAAAGGUGAUCCCAGCUGCAGCGGACAGCCCCGCAAUGGCCACUCGGAGCAAGAAAAGGCAACCAAACAGCCCUGCGAUGGCCACUCGUAGCAAGAAAAAACUAAAAGUCUGAACUUGUUUCUUUCUAUGACAUUUGUGGACUUAUUUUCUUGCACUGGACAUUGGUCUCUUUUGUGCAUUUCAAUUUCUUGUACUGGACAUUGGUCUCUUUUGUGCACUUUAGUUUCUUGUACUGGACUAUGAGUACCAUGUCUAUUUCUCCUGUUUACUAUCCUCAUUAUGUGUUAUGAUGCAAAUAUAUUAUUGUCAUGCUUAUAACUGUUUGAUCCUGAAA
Triticum urartu is the source of this 810-nucleotide non-coding RNA. Lineage: Eukaryota; Viridiplantae; Streptophyta; Magnoliopsida; Poales; Poaceae. The record is from RefSeq and is a predicted model, not a curated record.